UAGGGAAUCUUCCGCAAUGGACGCAAGUCUGACGGAGCAACGCCGCGUGAGUGAAGAAGGAUUUCGGUUCGUAAAACUCUGUUGUUAGAGAAGAACAGCGCAUAGAGUAACUGUUAUGCGUGUGACGGUAUCUAACCAGAAAGCCACGGCUAACUACGUGCCAGCAGCCGCGGUAAUACGUAGGUGGCAAGCGUUGUCCGGAUUUAUUGGGCGUAAAGCGAGCGCAGGCGGUCAAUUAAGUCUGAUGUGAAAGCCCCCGGCUCAACCGGGGAGGGUCAUUGGAAACUGGUUGACUUGAGUGCAGAAGAGGAGAGUGGAAUUCCAUGUGUAGCGGUGAAAUGCGUAGAUAUAUGGAGGAACACCAGUGGCGAAAGCGACUCUCUGGUCUGUAACUGACGCUGAGGCUCGAAAGCGUGGGUAGCAAACAGG
This 429-nucleotide ribosomal RNA is filed under the name Bacteroidota bacterium. RNAcentral's name for it is "Bacteroidetes bacterium partial 16S ribosomal RNA". It matches the Rfam family "Bacterial small subunit ribosomal RNA", at positions 355 to 776 of the family's 1533-position model. The record is from RNAcentral. Lineage: Bacteria; Pseudomonadati; Bacteroidota.